RNAcentral lists this ribosomal RNA (490 nucleotides) under uncultured bacterium. RNAcentral's name for it is "partial 16S ribosomal RNA". It matches the Rfam family "Bacterial small subunit ribosomal RNA", at positions 29 to 505 of the family's 1533-position model. The record is from RNAcentral.
AGUGAACGCUGGCGGUAGGCCUAACACAUGCAAGUCGAACGGCAGCACAGUAAGAGCUUGCUCUUACGGGUGGCGAGUGGCGGACGGGUGAGGAAUACAUCGGAAUCUACUUUUUCGUGGGGGAUAACGUAGGGAAACUUACGCUAAUACCGCAUACGACCUACGGGUGAAAGCAGGGGAUCUUCGGACCUUGCGCGAUUGAAUGAGCCGAUGUCGGAUUAGCUAGUGGGCGGGGUAAAGGCCCACCAAGGCGACGAUCCGUAGCUGGUCUGAGAGGAUGAUCAGCCACACUGGAACUGAGACACGGUCCAGACUCCUACGGGAGGCAGCAGUGGGGAAUAUUGGACAAUGGGCGCAAGCCUGAUCCAGCCAUACCGCGUGGGUGAAGAAGGCCUUCGGGUUGUAAAGCCCUUUUGUUGGGAAAGAAAAGCAGCAGGUUAAUACCCCGCUGUUCUGACGGUACCCAAAGAAUAAGCACCGGCUAACUUCG